Monodelphis domestica (gray short-tailed opossum) is the source of this 615-nucleotide long non-coding RNA. RefSeq lists it as uncharacterized. The record is from RefSeq and is a predicted model, not a curated record. Lineage: Eukaryota; Metazoa; Chordata; Mammalia; Didelphimorphia; Didelphidae.
UGUGAUAAAUAUUCUAAGUUCCUUAAGGUCUGAGACCUUGUCUAAUUUAGCUUUGUAUUUUCCCUAGUGGUGUUAUAUGGCUAUAAAUCACGAACCAUUACAAGCUUCUGAAGAAUCAAAAUUGCUGUAGACAGAAAGGGCUGUGGAAAGACACAAAGUAGAUAAAUGAACAAAGAAGUGCAAUAACAUGCCCUUUGGAAAGUUGUCCUUGUAGAAGCAGUGCACCCGAAGAGCACUAACUUGCAGAUCAAUGUGAUCAUGAAGGAUCUUCUGCAUUACUUGUUUGAAUCAAAGAGAGAACCAGCUGUUUUUCCACCUCCAACUGUUAUUUGGAAGGAGCAGAGGAAGAUCUGUUUCCUCAUUAGCUAUGCACAGGAGAGGAAAAAAAUGAGAGGCAAGAUGCAUGACAGUCUGUGGAGUGGCAGCAGAUUAAUGACUAAGAAUGAGAGGCAACUGGAAUAGUGAAAAAAAAGCACCAAAUCAUUUAUCCAUACCAUCGUUUCCCUUUUAUUUAGUGAGAGAUAGAAGUUUUCAAAAUACUUGAAUAAAAUUAAACGAAAGAAUUAAAUGAUCAGCAUUAAGAUAUGAAAAAGAGAGAGAUAGGGAGGAGAGAGA